UCGCUAGUAAUCGCGGAUCAGCAUGCCGCGGUGAAUACGUUCCCGGGCCUUGUACACACCGCCCGUCACACCAUGAGAGUCGGGAACACCCGAAGUCCGUAGCCUAACCGCAAGGGGGCGCGGCCGAAGGUGGGUUCGAUAAUUGGGGUGAAGUCGUAACAAGGUAUC
RNAcentral lists this ribosomal RNA (168 nucleotides) under uncultured bacterium. Its description in RNAcentral is "partial 16S ribosomal RNA". It matches the Rfam family "Bacterial small subunit ribosomal RNA", at positions 1332 to 1500 of the family's 1533-position model. The record is from RNAcentral.